ACCAUCCUCGCACUUUGGUCAAUUUGACUAAAGUUUGACAUUUAUUUUUCGAAUUUUCGGUAUAUUACAUUCUCCACCCCUUUAAAUAAUUUCGUCCGCGAAAUUACACAUACCUUAACUCGUCGACUCAAAUAAAUACGGAUACUCUUUCCACAUGGUCUCCUCGAGCUCCCAAGUGGCUUCUCACGCAGCAUGGUUGCUCCAUUGGACUUUCACAUAUGGAAUUCUGCGACUCCGCAGCUUUCUUUCUUCUCUCUCGAGGAUGCACACCGGGUACUCCUCAUAAGACAUAUCCUCACGUAACUCCACGGGCUCGUACUCCAAUACAUGU
RNAcentral lists this long non-coding RNA (331 nucleotides) under Ananas comosus (pineapple). Its description in RNAcentral is "long non-coding RNA (ACOM_LNC021222)". Lineage: Eukaryota; Viridiplantae; Streptophyta; Magnoliopsida; Poales; Bromeliaceae. The record is from RNAcentral.